GGGCACGUAGCUCAGCCCGGACCAGAGCGUCGGACUUCUAAUCCGACGGUCGUGGGUUCAAAUCCCACCGUGCCCG
Molecule: transfer RNA, 76 nt
Filed under: Halobacteriales archaeon SW_10_68_16
Lineage: Archaea; Methanobacteriati; Methanobacteriota; Halobacteria; Halobacteriales
Description: tRNA-Arg
Rfam family: tRNA
About the family: Transfer RNA (tRNA) molecules are approximately 80 nucleotides in length.
Source: RNAcentral